Molecule: non-coding RNA, 216 nt
Organism: Pelobates cultripes (western spadefoot toad)
Lineage: Eukaryota; Metazoa; Chordata; Amphibia; Anura; Pelobatidae
Source: the annotation of a GenBank genome assembly
GGAGGAGAUGUACAGAAUGUAUAUUGUCUUGAUUGGUUAUACUGUUAAUUAUGUGGGUGUCUCCCUUGCAUGGGCAGAAUCACAUAAAAGAGCGUGUCUGUCAAUAAAUCCUUAGUUCUUCUUGACCCUUCAAAACAUAGCCUCGUCUCGUUCUUGAAAGGCGAAUCUCUGCAGCAUAAUCACUCCGCUCUUUUCAGAGCUGCACUUGACUUCUAC